This 592-nucleotide ribosomal RNA is filed under the name Cystocoleus ebeneus. RNAcentral's name for it is "bacterial SSU rRNA". It matches the Rfam family "Bacterial small subunit ribosomal RNA", at positions 441 to 1100 of the family's 1533-position model. Lineage: Eukaryota; Fungi; Ascomycota; Dothideomycetes; Mycosphaerellales; Cystocoleaceae. The record is from RNAcentral.
AAUAAAGUUCUGGAUAAACAAUUGAUGAUGACAAAUAUUUAUCCAUAUGUCUUGACCAAUGCUUGUGCCAGCAGUCGCGGCAACACAAGUAAGGCUAGCGUUAUUCAUCUUCAUUAGGUUUAAAGCGUACCUAGACAGCAUUAUAAUAUUCAUUUGCUAGAGUUUUAUAUGGGAGGCAGAUAUUAGGAUUAUUGGUGUAAAGAUGAAAUUUUUUCAUACUAAUAGGAUGUGUAUUGGCGAAGGCAAACCUCUAUGUACAAACUGACGUUAAGGGACGAAGGCUUGGGUAGCGAAUAGGAUUAGAUACCCUAGUAGUCCAGGCAGAAAAUCAUGAAUGUUAUAUACUAAACUGAAAUUUGGUGUAUAAAUUAAAGUGUAAGCAUUCCACCUCAAGAGUAAUGUGGCAACAUAGGAACUGAAAUCAUUAGACCGUUUCUGAAACCAGUAGUGAAGUAUGUUAUUUAAUUCGAUGACCCUCGAAAAACCUUACCACAGUUUGAAUAAUACCGAUUCUAAAUCAGUGAUACAAGUGUUGCACGGCUGUCUAAAGCUAAUGUCGUGAGAUUUUGGUUAGAUCCAUUAAAUUAGCGUA